This 74-nucleotide transfer RNA is filed under the name Gammaproteobacteria bacterium. Its description in RNAcentral is "tRNA-Gln". It matches the Rfam family "tRNA". Rfam says of the family: Transfer RNA (tRNA) molecules are approximately 80 nucleotides in length. Lineage: Bacteria; Pseudomonadati; Pseudomonadota; Gammaproteobacteria. The record is from RNAcentral.
AGUCCCAUAGUGUAGUAGGUCAAGCACCGUGGACUUUGGAUCCGCAGACGAAGGUUCGAAUCCUUCUGGGACUA